Molecule: ribosomal RNA, 345 nt
Filed under: Triticum aestivum (bread wheat)
Lineage: Eukaryota; Viridiplantae; Streptophyta; Magnoliopsida; Poales; Poaceae
Description: partial small subunit ribosomal RNA
Source: RNAcentral
AUGACGAACCUCGCCGCCAUGAGGCCGCCAUGGAGGCCCGUCCCGAGCUCGGCUCGCCGCUCCUCCGGUGACCCUCGUUGCGCCUGGAUCCGGGUCGGGCGGAUCCGACAGAGGAGCCCUCCCAUGGCACCGGCGGCUCUGGAGAUGAGGGCUGCACAGAGGAAGAGGAGCAGCAGCAGCUCGAGGUCGUUACGCGUCGCCCACACCCCUCCUCCGCUCGCUCUCGUCUCUGUCAGGCUGCUGAUGUUCACUGCACUGGAGGGAGAGGACAAGAGUAAGAGAGCAAGAACAAUAGAUGAUUCGGUUAUUUGUGAAACUGACGGCUCUUGUGAGGAGCAAGGAUAG